Molecule: ribosomal RNA, 292 nt
Filed under: uncultured bacterium
Lineage: Bacteria
Description: partial 16S ribosomal RNA
Source: RNAcentral
GGACUACACGGGUUUCUAAUCCUGUUUGCUCCCCACGCUUUCGUGCAUGAGCGUCAGUGUUAUCCCAGGGGGCUGCCUUCGCCAUCGGUAUUCCUCCACAUCUCUACGCAUUUCACUGCUACACGUGGAAUUCUACCCCCCUCUGACACACUCUAGCCGUGCAGUCACCAAUGCAGUUCCCAGGUUAAGCCCGGGGAUUUCACAUCGGUCUUGCACAACCGCCUGCGCACGCUUUACGCCCAGUAAUUCCGAUUAACGCUCGCACCCUACGUAUUACCGCGGCGGCUGGCAC